Notolabrus celidotus (New Zealand spotty) is the source of this 1611-nucleotide long non-coding RNA. RefSeq lists it as uncharacterized. The record is from RefSeq and is a predicted model, not a curated record. The transcript has 2 exons. Lineage: Eukaryota; Metazoa; Chordata; Actinopteri; Labriformes; Labridae.
UUCAGGGCACCCUGAGUGACUGUUUUAAAGUCUGCUUCAGGGCACCCUGAGUGACUGUUUUAAGGCCCGUCUUUUUAUUAUUAUGAAACUCAAGUGACGUGAAGUUUCAGAGAAGUCCUGUAGCGUAAGAGGUAUUCGCCCAAGGGGGCGGUCUAUCACAGUCUCCUCCUUCCUCUUUCCUCCAGCAGAGUUAAGAGCCUUGGGACGCCACUUAAGAUAGCGGGUCAGUAUCUACUUCCGGUUCGGCGGAGGAGAGAGGAGACUGAAGUUAAGAGCUUUGUGAUCCACCCAAAGACUCACAUUUCGGCAUUCUGACAGAAGUCUUGAAUCCAGUCAAAAAUCAUAUCUAUUGAUGUCUGCUUGAAUCUGUUCAGUGUGUCUGUUGCUAAAACACAGUUUUGUUAUUCCAUAGAACAAUCUAUGGUCAGAUAAAGUGUAAAGUCAGUCCAAUGUACCUGUGCUGAUGUUUUUGCUUCUUUAUUAGUGAUUCCAUCAGUUUGUGUUUGGGACUGGACACCUGAGAGGGGAGAAUAAAGCAGAAUUUUACAAAGACAGUUAUUGGACAUGAGAAGUGAAGAAUCCCACUCUAAUAAUCAGGAUACAGAGAACUAAUAAUGAGCACUCUUCCUACCAGCAGAGUCCUUCUCCUUCCCCUGCUGUCCAUCUGCUCUAGUUCGAUCUGCUGGUUUGGCUAUAGCUUCACUGGUGGUAGUGCUGGGAGGACGCACAGACUGGAUCUGAAGGAUGUAGCAGUCUGCCGCUGCCAGGGGGCGCCAAGCUACAUGAAGCAUGCUGACUGUGGAUUUGAUGAGUAACACGGCUUCUGGGGUGGCAGCUCUCACCGGUCUCCAGGUACCAUAGGUCCUUGCAGCAGACCUGGUAGUUCCAGCUCUUACGGUAUCCAUCCCGGCCACUCCAAAUAUAAAGCCUGGACCCGACAGUGGCAGCACAGUGGCCCGCUCUGGCUCCAGGCCCACAGGCAUAUGGAUCAUCACUCAGGGGUCCCUGGCUUUGGAGCUGGGACUCGAUAUCGUCCUGCUGCUCCGGGCCCAGGUCCUGCCAGCUCAUCGUGUCUGAGAGAGAAAAACAGAGCAGCAGUGAGCUGAGUGACGAUGCAGACAACCAAAAUGACUAAUCCCACAUUUAAACAUUCAACUCAAAUGGACAUUAUAGAAAUGUUUAGUCUCAAGUUAUACAAACUACCCUCCGCAGCGCUGCUCUCUGCAGAGUGAACAAUAUUUAAAUAUCUCCAGAUGUACUUCCUUUUUUUUACAUUCAAGCCAUGAGUAACAUAUUCAGGUCUUUUUUUCCUGACUGAUAUAAUGAUGUGUUUUUGUUUAUUUUCAUGGAUGAAUAGAUUUUAAACAUUAUGAUGUGUGUGCAGGUGUUAAGACUGUUGUAAUUUAAGUGGUUAUUAAUUUGAUUUGCAGACACUGAAACAUUGUUCAGAUAAAUCAUGUGCACUGCUCUGAGCUCAUUAUGUCUAUUUAUACAUGUUUAUUUUAAAAUGUCACGUUUGUUUAUGUUUAACCAAAAGUGGCCUCAUGAGUUUCUUCUCGUUCAUCACCUCUUUGUUUUUGCGUGCAGUAGAUUAAAAAGAUCAAAGUUUCA